CCAAACGUCUCUGCGGAAAGGAAGUUUCUUUGGUGAAAGUAGCUUGGAGUCAGGCUGGUAUUGAAGAACAUACCUGGGAGCUUGAAUCAGAGAUGCGAAAGGACUACCCACACCUCUUUUCAGGUUCAAGUUAGCUUCCGGAACUUGUGGGCUCAAGCUAUUGAGCAUAUGGGUAUGGUGUAGUUUAAGAGGGUGUUUAUGCAUUGGACUUGAAUUUAGAUUACUUAGAGCUUUGUUGGUGACAAGGCUUGCUUUGGGGCUGUUUGAUUGAGCUUGGAGGGGCUGUGAUUUUGUGUUGAGAGGAUGUCUUGGGUGAAUUAAGUG
Arachis duranensis is the source of this 324-nucleotide long non-coding RNA. RefSeq lists it as uncharacterized. The transcript is spliced from 3 exons. NCBI's taxonomy places the organism in Eukaryota, Viridiplantae, Streptophyta, Magnoliopsida, Fabales, Fabaceae. The record is from RefSeq and is a predicted model, not a curated record.